AGAAAGAUAAGCUAAUUUCAAGCUAAUGGGUUCAUACCCCAUAUAUAGAGGUUCUAAAUCCUCUUCUUUUUA
Molecule: transfer RNA, 72 nt
Filed under: Ichthyotettix mexicanus
Lineage: Eukaryota; Metazoa; Arthropoda; Insecta; Orthoptera; Pyrgomorphidae
Description: tRNA-Met
Rfam family: tRNA
About the family: Transfer RNA (tRNA) molecules are approximately 80 nucleotides in length. Their secondary structure includes four short double-helical elements and three loops (D, anti-codon, and T loops). Further hydrogen bonds mediate the characteristic L-shaped molecular structure. tRNAs have two regions of fundamental functional importance: the anti-codon, which is responsible for specific mRNA codon recognition, and the 3' end, to which the tRNAs corresponding amino acid is attached (by aminoacyl-tRNA synthetases). tRNAs cope with the degeneracy of the genetic code in two manners: having more than one tRNA (with a specific anti-codon) for a particular amino acid; and 'wobble' base-pairing, i.e. permitting non-standard base-pairing at the 3rd anti-codon position.
Source: RNAcentral